UAGAGCUUCACAAUGGAAUGUCAAUCCUAU
RNAcentral lists this non-coding RNA (30 nucleotides) under Rattus norvegicus (Norway rat). The record is from RNAcentral. Lineage: Eukaryota; Metazoa; Chordata; Mammalia; Rodentia; Muridae.